Molecule: ribosomal RNA, 496 nt
Filed under: uncultured bacterium
Lineage: Bacteria
Description: partial 16S ribosomal RNA
Rfam family: Bacterial small subunit ribosomal RNA
Source: RNAcentral
GAUGAACGCUGGCGGCGUGCCUAAUACAUGCAAGUCGAGCGAACAGACGAGGAGCUUGCUCCUUUGACGUUAGCGGCGGACGGGUGAGUAACACGUAGGUAACCUACCUAUAAGACUGGGAUAACUUCGGGAAACCGGAGCUAAUACCGGAUAAUAUUUCGAACCGCAUGGUUCGAUAGUGAAAGAUGGCUUUGCUAUCACUUAUAGAUGGACCUGCGCCGUAUUAGCUAGUUGGUAAGGUAACGGCUUACCAAGGCAACGAUACGUAGCCGACCUGAGAGGUGAACCGGCCACACGGAAACUGAGACAGGGUCCAGACUCCAAGGGGAGGCAGCAGUAGGAAUCUUCCGCAAUGGGCGAAAGCCUGACGGAGCAACGCCGCGUGAGUGAUGAAGGUCUUCGGAUCGUAAAACUCUGUUAUUAGGGAAGAACAAACGUGUAAGUAACUGUGCACGUCUUGACGGUACCUAAUCAGAAAGCCACGGCUAACUACGUG